This 253-nucleotide ribosomal RNA is filed under the name uncultured bacterium. RNAcentral's name for it is "partial 16S ribosomal RNA". It matches the Rfam family "Bacterial small subunit ribosomal RNA", at positions 524 to 776 of the family's 1533-position model. The record is from RNAcentral.
GACAGAGGGGGCAAGCGUUGCUCGGAAUCACUGGGCGUAAAGGGCGCGUAGGCGGGAAGGCAAGUCAGUCGGGAAAUCUCUCGGCUCAACCGAGAAACGUCGGCUGAUACUGCCGUUCUUGAGGGAUGCAGAGGAGACUGGAAUUCCCGGUGUAGCGGUGAAAUGUGUAGAGAUCGGGAGGAACACCGGUGGCGAAGGCGGGUCUCUGGGCAUUUCCUGACGCUGAGGCGCGAAAGCGUGGGGAGCAAACGGG